Molecule: ribosomal RNA, 723 nt
Filed under: Vibrio sp. 12C04
Lineage: Bacteria; Pseudomonadati; Pseudomonadota; Gammaproteobacteria; Vibrionales; Vibrionaceae
Description: bacterial SSU rRNA
Rfam family: Bacterial small subunit ribosomal RNA
Source: RNAcentral
ACGCUGGCGGCAGGCCUAACACAUGCAAGUCGAGCGGAAACGACACUAACAAUCCCUCGGGUGCGUUAAUGGGCGUCGAGCGGCGGACGGGUGAGUAAUGCCUAGGAAAUUGCCUUGAUGUGGGGGAUAACCAUUGGAAACGAUGGCUAAUACCGCAUAAUGCCUACGGGCCAAAGAGGGGGACCUUCGGGCCUCUCGCGUCAAGAUAUGCCUAGGUGGGAUUAGCUAGUUGGUGAGGUAAUGGCUCACCAAGGCGACGAUCCCUAGCUGGUCUGAGAGGAUGAUCAGCCACACUGGAACUGAGACACGGUCCAGACUCCUACGGGAGGCAGCAGUGGGGAAUAUUGCACAAUGGGCGAAAGCCUGAUGCAGCCAUGCCGCGUGUAUGAAGAAGGCCUUCGGGUUGUAAAGUACUUUCAGUUGUGAGGAAGGGGGURKYGUUAAUAGCGSYAUCUCUUGACGUUAGCAACAGAAGAAGCACCGGCUAACUCCGUGCCAGCAGCCGCGGUAAUACGGAGGGUGCGAGCGUUAAUCGGAAUUACUGGGCGUAAAGCGCAUGCAGGUGGUUCAUUAAGUCAGAUGUGAAAGCCCGGGGCUCAACCUCGGAACUGCAUUUGAAACUGGUGAACUAGAGUACUGUAGAGGGGGGUAGAAUUUCAGGUGUAGCGGUGAAAUGCGUAGAGAUCUGAAGGAAUACCAGUGGCGAAGGCGGCCCCCUGGACA